GAUGAAGAACGUAGCGAAAUGCGAUACUUGGUGUGAAUUGCAGAAUCCCGUGAACCAUCGAGACUUUGAACGCAAGUUGCGCCCGAAGCCAUUAGGCCGAGGGCACGCCUGCCUGGGUGUCACACGUCGUUGCCCCCCCAUCUACUCCUUCGGGAUUGCGGGGGGCGGAUGAUGGCCUCCCGUGCGCCUCGUCGCGCGGUUGGCAUAAAUGCCAAGUCCUCGGCGACGCACGCCACGACAAUCGGUGGUUGCGAAACCUCGGUUGCCCGUCGUGUGCGGUCGUCGCGCAUCGAGGGCUCGAAAAAAUUGCCGGGCUCCGGCUCGGCUUUCAACGCGACCCCAUGUCAGGCGGGGUUACCCGCUGAAUUUAAGCAUAUCAAUAAGCGGAGGA
Molecule: unclassified non-coding RNA, 391 nt
Filed under: soil metagenome
Description: partial contains 5.8S ribosomal RNA, internal transcribed spacer 2, and large subunit ribosomal RNA
Rfam family: 5.8S ribosomal RNA (bases 1-122)
Source: RNAcentral